GAUGAACGCUGGCGGCGUGCCUAAUACAUGCAAGUCGAGCGAACAGACGAGGAGCUUGCUUCUCUGACGUUAGCGGCGGACGGGUAGUUACAAGUGGAUAACCUACCUUUUAGGCCGGGGAAAAUUCGGGGAAACGGAGCUUAUACCGGAUAAUAUAUUAAACCGGAUGGGUUCAUUAUGGAAGUCGGUUUUUGUGGUAAGUUAAGAUGGAUUCUCGCCGCAUUCGGUAGUUGGUAAGGUAACUGCCUACCAAGGCAACGAUGCGUGGCCGAGCUGAGAGGGUGAUCCGCCACACUGUAACUGAGCCACGGUCCAGACUCCCACGGGAGGCAGCAGUAGGGAAUCUUCCGCAAUGGGCGAAAGCCUGACGGAGCAACGCCGCGUGAGUGAUGAAGGUCUUCGGAUCGUAAAACUCUGUUAUUAGGGAAGAACAAAUGUGUAAGUAACUAUGCACGUCUUGACGGUACCUAAUCAGAAAGCCACGGCUAACUACGUG
Molecule: ribosomal RNA, 496 nt
Filed under: uncultured bacterium
Lineage: Bacteria
Description: partial 16S ribosomal RNA
Rfam family: Bacterial small subunit ribosomal RNA
Source: RNAcentral